GGAUGCGAUCAUACCAGCACUAACGCACCGGAUCCCAUCAGAACUCCGAAGUUAAGCGUGCCUGGGCGAGAGUAGUACUAGGAUGGGUGACCCCCUGGGAAGUCCUCGUGUUGCAUCCC
Molecule: ribosomal RNA, 119 nt
Filed under: Nicotiana attenuata
Lineage: Eukaryota; Viridiplantae; Streptophyta; Magnoliopsida; Solanales; Solanaceae
Source: RNAcentral